UGCGUUAUGAGAGUAAAAUGUGUUUGACAGGAAUCUGAACGAGAGGAGGGGGCGGCGGCACACGAGUGGAAAUCCGCACCUUCAAGAGAUCGCCAUCACUUUUUUUCCCCCUCGUCAAUCUUCAGUCGCGUGCAGUCCGUUAACCGCGCGGAGGCGAAUGCGGUGAAUUAUUUGGAGGCUCAGCAACAGGGCACACAGAGUACAGGAUGCCGCUGAGUGUAUCAGCCCCGCCGCGCUCGGGGAGCUCCCGCGACUAGCGCCGCGCAAAGUAUCCAAAAAGGAGAAUGCGAAUGGUUAGAGAGGACAGGAUUCAAUUAAUAUGGAAACGAUGUAGCUUCACCGCCGCAUUGCAUAUAGCUCGGGGAAACAGGUUAGAAAGUAGAUAGCUAAAUAGGGCGCAUUUUGCCGUCAUACAUGCAAACUUACUCAUCAUCAAGCUCAACUAGCCUGUAGUUGGCUGCAACAAAAGGAACAGCUGCUCGACAGUGUCUUCAGAUACCAAAGAAGACAAGAAGAAUUGAAGAUGUUACGGAGGAGGCUCAACCGAUUGUGUGGAGGAGACGAGAAGCGAGUGGACAGCAGGACAAUCUAUGUAGGACAUCGGCCAUGUCCGGACACCGAAGCCUUCAUCCCCUCUAAAUUCUGUGACAACAGGAUCGUGUCCUCCAAGUACACAGUGUGGAACUUCCUGCCAAAGAACCUAUUCGAGCAGUUUAGAAGAAUUGCUAAUUUUUACUUCCUCAUCAUAUUCUUGGUGCAGGUGAUUGUUGAUACCCCGACCAGCCCCGUGACUAGUGGUUUACCUCUGUUUUUUGUCAUCACAGUGACGGCCAUCAAACAGGGUUAUGAGGACUGGCUGCGGCAUAAAGCAGACAAUGAGGUGAAUAAGUACCCGGUGACGGUGUUAGAGGACGGCCGGUCGGUGAAGAAGGAGAGUGAGAAGAUCAAGGUGGGCGAUGUGGUUGAAGUGGUGGAGGACGAGACCUUUCCCUGUGACCUGAUUCUGUUGCAGUCCAGUCGAGAAGAUGGCACUUGUUUUGUCACCACAGCCAGCUUGGAUGGAGAAUCCAACCACAAAACACACUACACGGUGCCAGACACCGAGAAGGACCUGCAGGCUCUCACUGCCGCCAUCGAGUGUGAACAACCCCAGCCUGACCUCUACAAGUUUGUGGGUCGAAUGCACAUUUACAAGCCGGAGCAGGAGCCAGCAGUAAGAUCUUUGGGCCCAGAGAACCUUCUCCUAAAAGGUGCUACGUUGAAAAACACCAAGAAGAUUUAUGGUGUCGCAUUAUACACGGGCAUGGAGACGAAGAUGGCGCUUAACUACCAGGGCAAAUCUCAGAAGCGAUCAGCUGUUGAAAAAUCCAUCAAUGCCUUUCUGUUGGUGUAUCUAUGUAUCCUCAUCAGUAAAGCUAUUGUGUGUACUACGCUAAAGUACGUAUGGCAAAGCAAAGAAGGUCAGGAUGAGCCUUGGUACAACCAGAAAACCCAGAAGGAGAAAGACACUAAUAUGUAUUUGAAGAUGUUUACAGACUUCCUCUCCUUCAUGGUCCUCUUCAACUUUAUAAUCCCCGUGUCCAUGUACGUAACUGUGGAGAUGCAAAAAUUCCUGGGCUCUUUCUUUAUCACUUGGGAUAAAGACUUCGUUGACCCGGAGAUCCAAGAAGGCGCGCUUGUCAACACUUCAGACCUCAAUGAGGAACUCGGCCAGGUGGAAUAUGUAUUCACAGACAAGACGGGCACGCUGACCCAGAACAACAUGGAGUUCAUCGAGUGCUGUAUAGACGGCUUCCAGUACAAACACAGAGACAACCGGAGCGAGCUGGAUGGCUUCACUGUGACGGACGGGCCUGUGAAUAAACUGCAGCAGAAGGCUGGAAGGGAGAAAGAGGAGUUGUUCCUGCGGGCCUUGUGUCUGUGUCACACGGUGCAGGUGAAGGAGGCUGGAUCUGAAGUAGUUACAGACCAAGUUGAUGGGAUCGACGGGAUGAUUCACCAGCCGGAGGAAGAAAGAGGCUUCAUUGCAUCCUCUCCUGAUGAGAUCGCACUGGUCAAAGGAGCCAUGAAAUACGGCUUCACCUUCCUUGGUUUGGAAAGCAAGAGCAUGAAGAUAAGGAACAGGCAAAAUGAUAUAGAGGAGUACAAGUUGCUCCAUGUCCUAAACUUUGACCCAGUUCGAAGAAGAAUGAGCGUCAUCGUGCAGACCAAAUCAGGGGAGACGUUGCUUUUUUGUAAGGGAGCUGAUUCUUCCAUCUUCCCAAGAGUCAAACCAGAGGAGGUGGAUAGGAUUCGCAUGCACGUUGAGCGAAAUGCAACGGAGGGUUACCGUACACUGUGUGUGGCCUAUAAGCAGCUGAGUGCUGAGGAAUAUGCUGUGGCGGAUACUGGGCUGAGGGAGGCUAGACUGGCUCUCCAGGACCGAGAGGAGAAACUCAUGGCCAUGUAUAACCAGGUAGAGACAGGCAUGAGUUUGAUUGGAGCGACCGCUGUGGAGGACAGGCUUCAGGAAGAGGCAGCAGAGACAAUGGAGGCCUUGCAGGGCGCUGGGAUGAAGGUUUGGGUGCUGACGGGGGACAAAAUGGAGACGGCCAAAUCUACCUGCUAUGCCUGUCGUUUGUUCCAGCGGGGUACGGAGCUACUGGAACUGACUGUGCGGACACUGGAGGAUGGGAGGUCAAAGCGUGAGGAGAAACUUCUCGAGUUGUUACGGGACUACCAUAGAAAAGCAGUGCAGGAUGCCCCACCUGUCAAAGCUGGGGUCACCAGGAGCUGGUCUACUGCAAAUCAGGAUUACGGCUUCAUCAUAGAUGGGGCGACGUUGUCGUUACUGAUGAACCCACCGCGUGAUGCGGAUGCCAGUCUGUACAGGAACCUCUUCCUGCAGAUCUGCCAGAACUGCACUGCUGUGCUCUGCUGCCGCAUGGCCCCCCUGCAGAAAGCUCAGAUAGUGAAGAUGGUGAAGAACUCCAAAGGUUCCCCAAUCACUCUCUCUAUUGGCGAUGGGGCCAAUGAUGUUAGCAUGAUCCUUGAGGCACACGUGGGCAUUGGUAUUAAAGGUAAGGAGGGCCGUCAAGCUGUGAGAAACAGCGACUACGCCAUUCCUAAACUCAAGCACUUAAAGAAGCUUUUGCUGGCUCAUGGGCAUCUCUACUAUGUGCGCAUUGCGCAUCUCGUCCAGUACUUCUUUUAUAAGAAUCUUUGCUUCAUCUUACCUCAGUUCCUGUACCAGUUUUUCUGUGGAUACUCUCAGCAGCCCCUGUACGACGCAGCCUAUCUGACGAUGUACAACAUCUGCUUCACCUCCAUGCCCAUUCUGGCCUACAGCCUGCUGGAACAGCACAUAUCCAUUGAGAUUCUGCUGGACCACGCCGCCCUCUACAGAGAAAUAGCCAAUAAUGCCAUGUUACGCUGGCGCCCCUUCCUCUACUGGACAGUAUUAGGAAUUUUUCAGGGUCUCCUGUUCUUCUUUGGUGUCCGAUUCCUGUUUAGCAAUCCAGCCCUGCAGGAUAACGGGCAGGUUUUUGGAAACUGGUCUUACGGAACAAUUGUCUUUACGGUCCUUGUUUUCACUGUUACAUUGAAGCUGGCUCUGGACACACGGCACUGGACGUGGAUCAACCAUUUUGUGAUCUGGGGCUCUUUGGCUUUCUAUGUUUUCUUCAGUUUCUUCUGGGGAGGCAUCAUAUGGCCGUUUUUGAAGCAGCAGCGUUUGUACUUUGUGUUCGCCAACAUGCUGAGUUCAGUGUCUGCCUGGCUGGUCAUCAUCAUCCUCAUCCUCCUCAGUCUGCUGCCAGAGAUCCUUCUGGUGGUCCUUCGCAAGCCCAGAGGCCCCCAUUCACGACAGAAAAAGCCGGGUCAGUCGAAUGUGGGGGGCAACCCGUCCUCUCAGUCUUCAGCCAGACCCCUGCUCAUGAGAACCUUUUCAGACGAGUCCAAUUCUGUCAUAUGAACAGCUGUCAGAGGAUUCACCGACUGACACAUACAGUCGUAAAGAAGUUGUUUCUUUAGGAAAACAUUCCAGAAUUUUUCGAGUUUGAACUUCCAAAAUGCAGCUUCAAAGGGAUCCCAGCCAAGGAAGAAGGGUCUUAUCUAGCGAAAUGGUUGGUUAUUUUCUACAAAAAAAAAAUACUAUUUAUGUACUUUUUAACCUCAGCCUACAAACUCUGUGUAAUCUCCCAUCUCAUUUUCUCCUCCACUUUCAAAAUUCUUUGUUGUUACCGAAGUACCGACCCAGUGUUUACAAAGUGAACAUGCAAGGAAGAUCAAAUGCCCUUUACAAAAAGGGUAAAACAGUGAUGUACAAUAAUUCUGAAGUUGGAGGAGAAAAUAAGAUGGGAGUUUUUCUAUAUACCCUAACUGUAUUGACCCAAAUUACAGAGUUCGCAUGUGCGACAAGAAUACACAAGGCGAGCGUUUGAGGUUAAAAAGUAUAUAAAUUUUUAUUUUUUUUUCACUAGAUAAGACCCUUAUUCCUCAUCUGGGAUCGUUUGAAGCUGCGUUGAAAUUGUAUUUUGGAAAUUUAAACUCACAAGCACCAUAGAUGUCCACUAUAUGGAGAAAAACUCUGAAGAAUUCCUCAAGAAACAUAGUUUCUUUACGACUUGAGAGAGAAAGACAUGAACAUCUUGGAUGACAAGGGGAUGGCUGCUGUCACACCUCUCUCCUACAAGCAUCUGAAGGAGCGCUACUGAUGGGCACGGACAGCCUUGGGUUAAGAAUACUGAUGGGACCCUCACAUCCGCCAGGGUCGCUGCCCUUCCUCCUGCCUGUUUAAAUGAAACAUGACAAUGGAACCAACUUAAACUGCUUUUCUGUUACACCCAGCACGACUCCACAAGAACUGUGUUUUCUCACCGCCUUGCCCUACUGCCAAACUCCCAUAUUCAACCCUAACGGGAUGAAUGUUUCACUGGCUGAGUCGUCAGUAGCGCUCGACUGCUACAGAAUGUACCAACAUCCCUGCUCCACCUAUUGGUUGUCUUGCAUGAUCGCCCCCCUCAAAAAAGCCAACUUUCCAUACUUUCUGGUUUUCUUUACUUUGUAGGCAGACGGUCGGCCCCUUUUGCGAUCAGGUCACAAUCCCAAAUAGUAGUCUAGAGUUUUAUGAUAUGUAGCUGUUCGAGAUCCCUAAAUGUGAGCUCUCUCUAAGAUGCUGCACUGCGGGCCCUGACCCUAUGGGUAUAAAAGCUGCCUUUCAACAACUCGCUGUUUGUUCGACCACAUGGAGUUCUGGGAUAUCCCAUGGAGCCUCUGUAUGUGUACGUGUGCGUGCGUGUGUGUGUGUGUGAGAAAUCAAAAGUCAUUUCUUUCAGAUAUUUCUUAUAACGUACCGUCAGUCUUUCAAUGUUACUCUUUGUUGAAACGGGGAUCAGUUUACAGUCGGGUUACAAAUUGUACUAGUGCAAAGUGGAUGUUGCAAAUGUUGCUUGAUGCCAAAAAAGAGAGAUUCCAUUUAAAUGGACGACUGGGUCUCUUUGGUUUGUCCUUAAAGAUAGAUUAUACAUUACGGCACAUGUUUGGAUUGGCGAGUCAGGUCAGAGUUAAGGCAUCCAGUGGAGCCAUUAAUGACAUAGAUUGAGUGUGUCAGCUUUAUCCACCAGGCCAGUGCUCAAACACAUGCUUUUACGUCCACAUGCAUGUAUUUCACUUUUAGGGAGCUUAGAUUGGUGAAACGGGCGCUUUCGGCCUGACGCGUAUUGAAAGUCACCUCUGCCCUCUAGCGGUUUGGAGGGCAUGUAAUGUUAUUCUUUGCUUCUAAAUACAUUCCAUUUCUACGUGCCAUCAUUUCGAUCACUUUUUAGAUUAUAGUUGAAUUAUUUUGUUCUUGACUAUGUGAUUUGACAUAUUUAUUGUAAUUAUUCUCACAGAUGUUGUAUUUUUAUCAGAGGUAUUUCUUUCUCUUAAUUGUUAAUCAUUAUCAGCUUGUGCCAACUUAUUUGCCAGUGCAAUCCGCUGUUGAACAGAUUGGGUUUCUGUAUCUUGUAAGCCUGAGCAGACCCUGUAGACCAGCAGCUCUGGGCUUUUUCUCUGAUCAGAGAUCAGUCCUAUAGAUCCCCCCCUUAAUAUAUGGUGUGAAUGCAGCUGAAAUCUCGGUGUCCCUUUAAUAUGAAUGAUCUAUUCCGUUCUUUAUUCUGCUUGUAGCCCAAAAUGGGUGUUAAAAGAGCCACUGGCUGGCAUGUUCUCUAAUCGGGCGCAUUUCUUCAUUAUAUUUCUCCCAAAGCAAAUAUGCCCCAUUCUUGCUUCAGCUAUCUUCAAGUGUGUGUGUGGGUUAUCCAAGGGAAAGUGGUGUGUGUUAGACCUCUGACUGUGUCAUGAUGCUAAGCAUCUUAAGCUCAGCUCCCAGUCGUGGGCCGGGCUUAAUCCAGCUGUAUCACAGCCCCGCAUAACCGCCAGGCCUUCUUUUCAUUUCUGAUUACAUCAUGAAUUAGCUUUCUAGAGAAAAUAUAUCAGAGCUUUAUUUACAUUUGCUUUCAGCUGAACAGGUGAGGCCAGUUGGUGUGAUGUUUCAUUGUGAACAUUAGUCCAGCGCGAGGCCGUUUUAUGUUUGUUCUCGGUGCAUGUGUGACUACUAAUGCCACCACUGGACUGAACCCUGGUGAGCACAUACACACUCACACCAAGAUGAAGACACAUCCAUGUGUUUGCUCAGCUCAGUUUGGGAGGGGAAAACAGAACUUGCCUGCAAUGUUUGAAAUUUCCAAACAGACCUUUAAAUUACUUCAGAGAUGCUAUUUUCAAAGCUUAUAAUAAUUCUUGGAUUCUCAUGUUGCCUGAAUAUAUAUAUAUAUAUAUAUAUAUAUAUAUAUAAAUAUUUGAUUGUAUUUUUAACGGAACUUUUUGAGCCACUUUUUGUAAUAAAAAAAAAAAAAACAUCCAAAAAAAAACAAACAAAUAAAAAAAGCUGAGAAAGGCAGCCUGAUUGUGGAGUGUGAGGCAGGGCUGAGGUGUGUUUCUGUGAAAUAAAUCAGGCAUUAGCACGGUCAGCCCUGCUUACUCCAUCAUGUCCCUCAGGCUCCAGCUGAUCUGAAUGUACCUCUCAAGACCAGUCUGUUUCAAAAUGUUUCUUUAAUAAAAGCUGUUUUGAAAGAA
Labeo rohita (rohu) is the source of this 7092-nucleotide RNA transcript. It is a transcript of the gene named ATPase phospholipid transporting 11C, with no coding region annotated. The transcript has 32 exons. Lineage: Eukaryota; Metazoa; Chordata; Actinopteri; Cypriniformes; Cyprinidae. The record is from RefSeq and is a predicted model, not a curated record.